GGUUGUUCCAACAAGUCCAAUACAGUCAUGAUAUAACAAUAUUGUUACAACCUUGUGUCGUCAACCUUGUAACAUUCUCGUUAUAUCAUGAGUGUAUCCGACUUGUUUAUAGAACAACC
RNAcentral lists this microRNA precursor (119 nucleotides) under Paramuricea clavata. The record is from RNAcentral. Lineage: Eukaryota; Metazoa; Cnidaria; Anthozoa; Malacalcyonacea; Plexauridae.